Molecule: ribosomal RNA, 480 nt
Filed under: uncultured bacterium
Lineage: Bacteria
Description: bacterial SSU rRNA
Rfam family: Bacterial small subunit ribosomal RNA
Source: RNAcentral
AGAGUUUGAUCCUGGCUCAGAACGAACGCUGGCGGCAUGCCUAACACAUGCAAGUCGAACGCAGGGCUUCGGCCCUGAGUGGCGCACGGGUGAGUAGCGCGUGGGAACCUGCCCUGGAGUGGGGGAUAACCGAGGGAAACUUCGGCUAAUACCGCAUGCGCCCGGAGCAAUCCGGGGAAAGAUUUAUCGCUCUAGGAGGGGCCCGCGUCGGAUUAGCUAGUUGGUGGGGUAACGGCCUACCAAGGCGAUGAUCCGUAGCUGGUCUGAGAGGAUGAUCAGCCACACUGGGACUGAGACACGGCCCAGACUCCUACGGGAGGCAGCAGUGGGGAAUAUUGGACAAUGGGCGAAAGCCUGAUCCAGCAAUGCCGCGUGAGUGAGGAAGGCCUUAGGGUUGUAGAGCUCUUUCGGCGGGGACGAUGAUGACGGUACCCGCAGAAGAAGCCCCGGCUAACUUCGUGCCAGCAGCCGCGGUAAUAC